This 497-nucleotide ribosomal RNA is filed under the name uncultured bacterium. RNAcentral describes it as "partial 16S ribosomal RNA". It matches the Rfam family "Bacterial small subunit ribosomal RNA", at positions 28 to 507 of the family's 1533-position model. The record is from RNAcentral.
GAUGAACGCUGGCGGCGUGCCUAAUACAUGCAAGUCGAGCGAACAGACGGGGAGCUUGCUCCUCUGACGUUAGCGGCGGACGGGUGAGUAACACGUGGAUAACCUACCUAUAAGACUGGGAUAACUUCGGGAAACCGGAGCUAAUACCGGAUAAUAUAUUGAACCGCAUGGUUCAAUAGUGAAAGACGGUUUUGCUGUCACUUAUAGAUGGAUCCGCGCCGCAUUAGCUAGUUGGUAAGGUAACGGCUUACCAAGGCAACGAUGCGUAGCCGACCUGAGAGGGUGAUCGGCCACACUGGAACUGAGACACGGUCCAGACUCCUACGGGAGGCAGCAGUAGGGAAUCUUCCGCAAUGGGCGAAAGCUUGACGGAGCAACGCCGCGUGAGUGAUGAAGGCCUUCGGAUCGUAAAACUCUGUUAUUAGGGAAGAACAAAUGUGUAAGUAACUAUGCACGUCUUGACGGUACCUAAUCAGAAAGCCACGGCUAACUACGUG